This 254-nucleotide ribosomal RNA is filed under the name uncultured bacterium. Its description in RNAcentral is "partial 16S ribosomal RNA". It matches the Rfam family "Bacterial small subunit ribosomal RNA", at positions 524 to 776 of the family's 1533-position model. The record is from RNAcentral.
UACGAAGGGGGCUAGCGUUGCUCGGAAUCACUGGGCGUAAAGGGUGCGUAGGCGGGUCUUUUAAGUCAGGGGUGAAAUCCUGGAGCUCAACUCCAGAACUGCCUUUGAUACUGAAGAUCUUGAGUUCGGGAGAGGUGAGUGGAACUGCGAGUGUAGAGGUGAAAUUCGUAGAUAUUCGCAAGAACACCAGUGGCGAAGGCGGCUCACUGGCUCGAUACUGACGCUGAGGCACGAAAGCGUGGGGAGCAAACAGG